Molecule: unclassified non-coding RNA, 328 nt
Filed under: soil metagenome
Description: partial contains 5.8S ribosomal RNA, internal transcribed spacer 2, and large subunit ribosomal RNA
Rfam family: 5.8S ribosomal RNA (bases 1-120)
Source: RNAcentral
GAUGAAGAACGUAGUGAAAUGCGAUAAGUAAUGUGAAUUGCAGAAUUCAGUGAAUCAUCGAAUCUUUGAACGCACAUUGCGCCCUCUGGUAUUCCGGGGGGCAUGCCUGUUCGAGCGUCAUUAUAACCACUCAAGCUCUCGCUUGGUAUUGGGGUUCGCGGUUUCGCGGCCCCUAAAAUCAGUGGCGGUGCCUGUCGGCUCUACGCGUAGUAAUACUUCUCGCGAUUGAGUUCGAUAGGUCUACUUGCCAGUAACCCCCAAUUUUUACAGGUUGACCUCGGAUCAGGUAGGGAUACCCGCUGAACUUAAGCAUAUCAAUAACGGAGGA